GAUGAACGCUGGCGGCGUGCCUAAUACAUGCAAGUCGAGCGAACAGACGAGGAGCUUGCUCCUCCGACGUUAGCGGCGGACGGGUGAGUAACACGUGGAUAACCUACCUAUAAGACUGGGAUAACUUCGGGAAACCGGAGCUAAUACCGGAUAAUAUAUUGAACCGCAUGGUUCAAUAGUGAAAGACGGUUUUGCUGUCACUUAUAGAUGGAUCCGCGCCGCAUUAGCUAGUUGGUAAGGUAACGGCUUACCAAGGCGACGAUGCGUAGCCGACCUGAGAGGGUGAUCGGCCACACUGGAACUGAGACACGGUCCAGACUCCUACGGGAGGCAGCAGUAGGGAAUCUUCCGCAAUGGGCGAAAGCCUGACGGAGCAACGCCGCGUGAGUGAUGAAGGUCUUCGGAUCGUAAAACUCUGCUAUUAGGGAAGAACAAAUGUGUAAGUAACUAUGCACGUCUUGACGGUACCUAAUCAGAAAGCCACGGCUAACUACGUG
This 497-nucleotide ribosomal RNA is filed under the name uncultured bacterium. Its description in RNAcentral is "partial 16S ribosomal RNA". It matches the Rfam family "Bacterial small subunit ribosomal RNA", at positions 28 to 507 of the family's 1533-position model. The record is from RNAcentral.